RNAcentral lists this unclassified non-coding RNA (383 nucleotides) under Pomacea canaliculata. RNAcentral's name for it is "uncharacterized LOC112557307, transcript variant X3". The record is from RNAcentral. Lineage: Eukaryota; Metazoa; Mollusca; Gastropoda; Architaenioglossa; Ampullariidae.
CUUACUUCUGCAGAAUGGCAAGGGUCCCUUAUCUUCUGGCUGCUGUGCUUGUCAUUGGUGCCAUGCUGGGUGUCAACAAAGGACACAUGUGUGGCAACAGGAACCUCUUGUUACCUUGGAGGAACGCCGCCAACAGAGCCAGCAAUAACAAUAACAACAAUAACGAUCUCAAUAAUAUCCUCGCUGCUCUCGCGGCUCUUCGCAUCAACAACCUCGUCCAAGCUGCUGCGGCUGCGGCUGCUGCUGCUGCUGCUGCGGGUUAACGCUGGACUCGACUUUCAAGUGACAUUCGAGUCUUGCGAAUGCCAGAGACCAGAAACUUCGUGGACAAAGGUGUGAACAAGAAUAAAGUUUUGAAUUUUUACCCUCACUAUGAAAAAAAA